This 424-nucleotide ribosomal RNA is filed under the name uncultured prokaryote. RNAcentral describes it as "bacterial SSU rRNA". It matches the Rfam family "Bacterial small subunit ribosomal RNA", at positions 355 to 796 of the family's 1533-position model. The record is from RNAcentral.
UGGGGAAUAUUGGACAAUGGGCGCAAGCCUGAUCCAGCCAUGCCGCGUGAGUGAAGAAGGCCUUAGGGUUGUAAAACUCUUUCACCCGUGAAGAUGAUGACGGUAGCGGGAGAAGAAGCCCCGGCUAACUCCGUGCCAGCAGCCGCGGUAAUACGGAGGGGGCAAGCGUUGUUCGGAUUUACUGGGCGUAUAGGGCGCGUAGGCGGGCGAUCAAGUCAGAGGUGAAAGGCCUGGGCUCAAUCUAGGAACUGCCUUUGGAACUGUUCAUCUUGAGUCCGGGAGAGGAUGGCGGAAUUCCCAGUGUAGAGGUGAAGUUCAUAGAUAUUGGGAAGAACACCGGUGGCGAAGGCGGCCAACUGGACCGGCACUGACGCUGAGGCGCGAAAGCGUGGGGAGCAAACAGGAUUAGAUACCCCCGUAGUCC